GUAGGGGGCAAGCGUUAUCCGGAAUUACUGGGUGUAAAGGGAGCGUAGACGGUUAGGUAAGUCUGGAGUGAAAGGCGGGGGCCCAACCCCCGGACUGCUCUGGAAACUAUCAGACUGGAGUGCAGGAGAGGCAGGCGGAAUUCCUGGUGUAGCGGUGAAAUGCGUAGAUAUCAGGAGGAACAUCGGUGGCGAAGGCGGCCUGCUGGACUGUAACUGACGUUGAGGCUCGAAAGCGUGGGGAGCAAA
RNAcentral lists this ribosomal RNA (246 nucleotides) under uncultured bacterium. RNAcentral describes it as "partial 16S ribosomal RNA". It matches the Rfam family "Bacterial small subunit ribosomal RNA", at positions 527 to 772 of the family's 1533-position model. The record is from RNAcentral.